AACGAACGCUGGCGGCAGGCCUAACACAUGCAAGUCGAGCGAGCAUUUCGGUGCUAGCGGCGGACGGGUGAGUAACGCGUGGGAACGUGCCCUUUUCUGCGGAAUAGUCCUGGGAAACUGGGGGUAAUACCGCAUACGCCCUUUUGGGGAAAGAUUUAUCGGAGAAGGAUCGGCCCGCGUUGGAUUAGGUAGUUGGUGGGGUAAUGGCCCACCAAGCCGACGAUCCAUAGCUGGUUUGAGAGGAUGAUCAGCCACACUGGGACUGAGACACGGCCCAGACUCCUACGGGAGGCAGCAGUGGGGAAUCUUAGACAAUGGGGGCAACCCUGAUCUAGCCAUGCCGCGUGAGUGAUGAAGGCCUUAGGGUUGUAAAGCUCUUUCAGCUGGGAAAAUAAUGACGGUACCAGCAGAAGAAGCCCCGGCUAACUCCGUG
This 433-nucleotide ribosomal RNA is filed under the name uncultured bacterium. RNAcentral's name for it is "partial 16S ribosomal RNA". It matches the Rfam family "Bacterial small subunit ribosomal RNA", at positions 29 to 507 of the family's 1533-position model. The record is from RNAcentral.